This is a long non-coding RNA of Ictalurus punctatus (channel catfish), 911 nucleotides long. RefSeq lists it as uncharacterized. Lineage: Eukaryota; Metazoa; Chordata; Actinopteri; Siluriformes; Ictaluridae. The record is from RefSeq and is a predicted model, not a curated record. The transcript is spliced from 3 exons.
CAUUAUUAGCAUUGUUUAAAUUUUGGGGCAGAACCAUGGUCUAGAUGGAGAGAUUAUAUCUCUGGUCUAGCCUGGGAACGCCUGGGUGUCCCCAUGGAGGAGCUGGCAGAGGUGGCCAGGGAGAAGGAGGUCUGGGCAUCUCUGCCCCCGUGACCUAGACCUGGGUAAGCAGAAGAAAAUGGAUGGAUGGAAGAAUUAAGAUGACUUCUUGUAAUUGCCUGAUGCAAAAAUGCCAUGCCAUGUUGAAAAUCACGUCAGCCAUAACCACAGAUCCAUUGAACUCCACUCAUGUUCUGGUUUUAUGGUGGUGUUUUUGUCUGUGUGGAUCUUUCAAGUCAUCAUCCUGCUGUCUCUGUUAGUGGGAGCGUACAUCUACCGCAGAAUCUACAGGAAACAGAGGACACCUGAGAUUCAGGAAGCUCUGUAAACCUGGAUUAGGAACAGAAGAAGCAGAUCUCCUCUAUGCAAGCAACCAUCACUCUGUGUCUCAUUCAGACUGAAGCAUGUGAAGAAUACAACCAUCAAUAACAGAUGGCUAACAGACAACAUAAAUUUAAUUCCUCAAUCCACAAAAAAACUCAAAUAAAUCAGCCUCAUGAUUCCUGUAGAUUCGUUGAGGCACCGAGUGCUAAUUUUCAGUUGUUUCUGGUAUUCUUUCUUUUUUUAAUAUUUUAAAAAUAAUGCAAUGCUUUGAUACAGUUGUUACAAACAUGCCAACAAUGCUUUUGUGGGAAUGAUUUUAAUAAAGUUUUUGAAAUGUAAAUGUAGGUAUAUGUACUGUACGUGUGAAUGCUGAAAUAAAGUCUUUUUUUUUUUUUUUUAACUGACACACCUAAACUCACUGUUCUUGAUUGUUCUCUUAAUUAUUAUGUAACUUUUGAGUUCUAAAUUCCACAAACUAAAUCAUUCCA